This 126-nucleotide ribosomal RNA is filed under the name Neogale vison (American mink). The record is from RNAcentral. Lineage: Eukaryota; Metazoa; Chordata; Mammalia; Carnivora; Mustelidae.
GUCUACGGCCAUACCACCCUGAACGCGCCCGAUCUCGUCUGAUCUCGGAAGCUAAGCAGGGUCGGGCCUGGUUAGUACUUGGAUGGGAAAGAUGAAAUUUGUCCCUAAAAUCAGGAACAAUACAAG